RNAcentral lists this ribosomal RNA (457 nucleotides) under uncultured bacterium. RNAcentral describes it as "partial 16S ribosomal RNA". It matches the Rfam family "Bacterial small subunit ribosomal RNA", at positions 338 to 795 of the family's 1533-position model. The record is from RNAcentral.
CCUACGGGUGGCAGCAGUGGGGAAUAUUGCACAAUGGUCGAAACCCUGAUGCAGCGACGCCGCGUGAGUGAAGAAGUAUUUCGGUAUGUAAAGCUCUAUCAGCAGGGAAGAAAUAAAGUCCUUCGGACUUUGGACGGUACCAGACUAAGAAGCCCCGGCUCAGUACGUGCCAGCAGCCGCGGUAAUACGUAGGGGGCUAGCGUUAUCCGGAUUUACUGGGUGUAAAGGGAGCGUAGGCGGCAGCGCAAGUCUGGAGUGAAAUCCCAGGGCUUAACCAUGGAACUGCUGUGGAAACUGUGCAGCUUGAGUGGAGGAGAAGUAAGCGGAAUUCGUAGUGUAGCGGUGAAAUGCAGAGAUAUUAGGAGGAACACCAGUGGCGAAGGCGGCUUACUGGACUGUAACUGACGUUGAGGCUCGAAAGCGUGGGGAGCAAACAGGAUUAGAUACCCGAGUAGUC